This 1202-nucleotide long non-coding RNA is filed under the name Salvator merianae (Argentine black and white tegu). Its description in RNAcentral is "lncRNA (ENSSMRG00000013288.1)". The record is from RNAcentral. Lineage: Eukaryota; Metazoa; Chordata; Lepidosauria; Squamata; Teiidae.
CAAGCUGUUCAUGAAACUGAAGCAGUGGAAAAAGAUAGAUGAACUGCUGCAGCUGCAGUCAAAUCUUUUGGAGGUUUCCAGUAUGGAGCGAGUGAUGAAGGCCCUUCAGGAACAAGCAGCAACAGUACUAGAGGCAAAGCCACCCACUUUUAUGACUUCUUUUAAGUCACAACAAUAUGAUCUAAUCUGGGACAAGAUUUAUGAAAGCACAGAACUACUUCAGGGAAGAAGAAGUAGUGAUAGUCCUACUACUGCAAUUUUGGCAGCUGAUGAGAAGGACAUGGAAAACAACAUCUUUAGGAAGACUUCCACUUUUUCAAGAAAGAAGAAAGACACAAGCUACUCGCUGCUGGAGUCAGACAAGGACAUGGAGACCAGCAACAAAGACCUCGCUCUGAGGAAAGGAGCCUACCUGUCUCUCGUUUAUUUGCGUCACUUGAGAAUCCGAGAGCUGAAGAGAAUUUGCUUGGGGAUUCUUAAUUACUUCAGAUCUGUGGAAAGAACUGUAACAAUCAGCACUUCAGGCCUUGCCUUGAAUAGCGGCCAUUUGGUCUCCACCGCAGAGGACCCCUGCUGGGUGAAUGCAGCCAAAGGUGGCACUGGCUGCUAUGGUGGUCUUGCUUCACACCCUUACAUGCAUUAUACACCAGCAGACUAUAAGCUUCUGGAUAUUUACUUUGAAGCAUAUCAACAUGCCUUAGACCCAGAAGAGAGAUUUGCUUUGGCUCAGAUAAUAACUGAUAUCAUGUAUAGACGGCCUCGAUUUGAUUUUCAUCUCAAAUAUUUUGUGAACAUCUAUAAUGAUGAAUGUGCUUGUCUUAAGCUUCACCUACAGCUUGUGAGAGAGAUAUUGAACCAACAGAUAGAUACGCAACGUGAAUAUAACAAGAAGAUUUGGCAUGAUUGUCCCGAAGGAGGCAUCCAUGAAUUUGGUUUCCCUCCCUAUAUAAUUGCAAAACAACUAAUUGCCAUUAAUAACAGCCCUUCAGCUUUGAAGACCAUUUAUUUGCUGGAGUUCCACCCUUCACUUGGCCUGGUAUCUUCAAUCCCUAAAGCCCUUGGUCAUGUCCUCCAGGAGUUCCAGCAACUUUGUAGGCCAAAGACAGCCAGUGAAGCAAUUAACCUGGAGAAACAUGUGCUUCAACUUGCCCUGGACACAUGGUUGACUUUGGAAAGUCCAGAGUCUUUUUAUGCUUCUCAGA